AUUGCAAUAUAAACAUACAUAUCGUCACAUCGCUAGGCCUAAGAGCUCUUCUCUGUGAUGCAACACGGGUUUUCUGUUAGCUUGUUUGAAUUCGUUAUGGAAGUUCUUUUUUUAUGUGGCUAAUCUGAGUCUCACGUGCAUGUUUGUGGAAAUGAGGACCUUGUCACUAAAUAACAUAAUACAGAAAACAGGAAAACGCAGUGAACCACAAAGUCUAACAGGUUAUACUGUAAUAAUACUGUAGUACGUUUACUUAAAAAAAGAAAAAAAGGUAAGAUAAUCACACAAGUAAUAACACACAGAGGAAUGUGUAAUCAAAUGUAAUUGUAUUUAUUGAGAAGAGAGUAACACUGGACUCAUCUGACUUGCUUGUACACACAACACACAGGUGUAUUCACAUUGACUACGUUUACAUGGACAGCAGUAUUCUAAUUAUUGACCUUAUUCUGAAAAAGACGAUAUCCUGAUUAAGGUGUUUACAUGAGUUGCUUUUAGAAUACUCCUUUCAUGUCCAUGUUUUACAUGUUAUAGAACAUAGAUGAAUUAAUUGCAAACGUCAUUACUUCACCAUGCCACGCCGUCUGACGUUCCCUCCAGAAUUUCACGUAUCGACAUACAGUUCGUCUUCGUUAUGGUACUGUAUAAAGUUUUGGGUGUUUCAUUUUUAAUUUUAUGAAAGCUUCAAGUGCAGUUAUUUGUCAUGCUUUACGUGCAAACAGACCACUGCUUGAAGCCAUGGGCUGCGUCUGAAACUGCGUACUUACCUACAAUAUAGUAGCUGAGAUACAUGUAUUUCUCCUACGAUAUAGCAGGUAAGUACAUGGUUUGGGACACAGCCGUGCUCUCCUGUUUGCCGUCAAACGGUUGAGCACUGCCGUGUGUGAUCGUAUCCUGUCACAAAAUGCGGUGAAAACUCCCACAUGGCGUUAAUAAUGUGAUUAAGGCAUGUACAUGUCUAUAAUACACUUCGAUAAUGUGACUAAAACAGGAGAACUCCCCAUGUCUUAAUUUGAUUUGUGUUUACUUCGAGUGACUUUAAACGGAUCAAGGUAAUAAAAAAUCGCUGUUUACAUGGUAGUUUCUUAAUCAGACUAUCGUCUUAAUCAGGUUAAUAUUGGAAUAUUGUUGUCCAUGUAAACAUACUGAUAUACAUGCUAGCAAAGGAAGUAGGUGUAGCUGGAAGGCAGCCAAUCACAGUGCCGCUUCUUUUUUUUCUGCGAUAGCGAGGUGGAAUGCAAGACAAAACAAACUCGUUAGUGUAUAAUGCGUUUUUCUCUCUCUUUUUACCAGAUGAGUUCAGAUAUUGUAGAUUAGUAAUGGGAAUUCCAGCUCUUUCCAGUGAGUCAGUCGAGUUAUUUGGCUCGGUUUACUGAUAACAGUUGAAUCAGUCUGUACAGGAUUUCUCAGCUUUUUUUUUGUUGUUUCAGCCAAAAACGCUUCAUUUUGCCACAAAUGUGCAAUGCAACUUGCAGAGGUUUUUUUGUGCUUUUUUUUUUUCAGAAAACUACACAACAAAAUCGCGAGUGUUGAAUUAACACCCUACAGUGUUUAUAUGAGGCCACUGGACACAAAUGAACACUCUGGGUGUUAAUUCAACACUAGGGAUUUUACCGUGUACUUAAAUUGCCAAAAUCACAAUUACAGGAAAUAGUUUUACAUGGUCUUUCACAGUGAUGUUUGUUGGUAAAUGAGACCUUUUAGCUGUACUCAUGUUUGAUGCACGUGAAUCGAGGAGGCUGGAUGCAUGUCGUGAUGAUGACACAUGACACGUCUCGGCCCGAACCUAGAAAAUCUGCUGUAAUUUUGAAAACAAUUGCAAGUUCUUCCAAAAAUUGCAGAGUUUACUAGAUUCUGCUAUCACAAAAUCCUGGAGGGACUGCUGAAUCUCUUGACCCCCACAUGUUUUUCUGUCCUUGCAGUAGAAAUUUUCCGAUAUUUUGACCAGUGACUGAUGUUCUUUGUAUCCCAUUUCCCUGUGCUUUCGACACUGAAGCAUUUUGUACCUUCACUUUGCACUGAUUUUUAAUUAUUUAUACAUCUAAUUUCCGUCUUUUAUUUCCUCCUUAAAUAAACUGACCUUGCUUUUGCCCAAUUUAAAUUGCUUGAUUUUCCUCACUCUAUUCCCAAUUUGAUAAUCUGUCAAUUUCCACCCAUCAGCCAGCAUGACACACCUGUGGAAUACAAACUCAUGAUCUACUGACUACAGAAUGAACACUUUUCUUUUGCACAAAUUUACAUGGCUACAUUUAAAAAAAAAUCUAAUUAAAGUCACAACUCAUUUGCAUUAAACAUCACGGGAUGUGAAGCCUCAAACCGCUGCUCAUGCCCCAUUCAGUGUACACGAGCUAACUCGUCCAUGACCAGCUAGUGUUGCUAUAAAGUGAUAGUAAAGAGCAGAACAGGACAAGUAUGUUCUCUUUCUACAUGGUCUUUAUUUAUCCAUCCAUCUUCAAUACCGAGAGCCUGGAGCCUAUCGCAGGGAAGGCGGGGGACACCCUGGACAGGGGGGCAACAUAUCUCAGGGGAUCUUAUUUGUAAGUGAAUAUAUUCUGAAGGGUUAAAGAAUAUGUGUGUAAUAACCUAGUAAUAAAAUGACAUCUCAACAAUGAUGUUUGGAAACUGUGCAAUGGAAAACAGUAUCAAGAGAACGUUCUGGGAAAGACUGUAUGUGUUCCAGCACAGAGCCCAGCAUUCCAGAUACCAGAGAUGGAUAGUCAAAGUGGUGAUGAAGUCUCCCCAGAUGAAUGUGGAACAAAACAUGGAUGGCGAAUGAACAGGAGCGGAGAAUCUUUACCGAUACGACUCUGCAGACGUUCAUGCAAACGAUGAUGAUAUGCUGCAUAUUGAUCAGUGUUUAGUUCACUGCUAGAACCAGGAAGUGAUGCUUCGUGUUUUUUUUUUCUCUCUCAAGUAAUCUCAAUAUUCUUCACACGUCCGUCAUCCCACUCAUCCAUUCACACCCUCCACGUUUAUUCCUGGACACCACACUCCGAUUGUUAAUGUCACAUUUACAUUCAGUUUAAAUAUAAUGGCUGAAUCUGGAACAGAACAUCCUCAGACAUCUCAUCAGAAAUUUCAGCUACCAAAUUCUGCCAAAAUUUUAAUCAUGAGCAAUGAGCAUAAAGGGAAUGGGGGGGGGGGGGGGUGGGGGACUCCUUAUCCCACAGCGAUGUUGGAUUCUGGAUCGUGAUUGGUCCGAAGGUGUUGAUUAAUUUUCAAGAACAGCAGCUCUGACGGUAGCGCAGCUGCAAAUCACGGGUUUAUAUUAAUAUUAAUGCGCUCGUUCUAAUACAUGUGCAAUCAUUGAUGUGGUUUAGAUUUGUGGAAGGAGUCUCCAGUGUUGGCGCUUUGUGAAGCUGUAACUUUAAGUUUUCCGUUAGUGAACGAGUGAACGCUACAUUUUACAGUUGAAUAAUUGGUCAUAUUCCAACAAUGAAACCAAAAAAUAAGAACGUGUGUAUUUUUGGGAUGCGACGUCCCACUUUAACUUAGAUAGGACUGGUAAGAGUGUUGUCAUGGUUACAAGAGUGUGCAGGUCAUGUGAGCAUGUGGGCUUUUGUUUUCAUAUCAGCCAAUGAUUUUUCUUUCUUUUUUUUGAAAAAAAAAAAGCCAAAUAUGAAAGCAUCUUAGUGUUUCGAGUUUUCUACAGCAGAGAAAUCUGAGGGUUCUGUUCCUCUGAUAUGAAAUCCUUAAGGCUAAAAUCCCUCUCUGCUUUAAAGAGCCGUUUUAAUAGUUAUGCUGCACGAAGUGAGAUUUAUUAGCGCGUUGCACAACACGUCAUGUUACUAAAGACCAUAUCUUUCGUCAUAGCCUGAAGGGAAGUUCCACCCAGAACAUCCUAAAAAUAUCUCUCACUUAAGUGACGAGAAAUUUGUUUUGAAAAUGAGACGAGCCGUUUAAACACACCAAGGAGCCAUGUGACAGUCCAGGGCAUUAAGAUUUAUGAGAGAGAUUCUCCUUUUUAAAAAAAGACUUCAAAGGCUUUGAAUGCAGGCACGGGUCAGAAGAUUCCAUAAAAAACGUUCACUCUUGCUCUAUUUGUGUGUUUUUUCACUUCAUAAAAAGUUCACAUCUCAGUAAUGCAGAUGUUUGGUUGGUGGGCGAUGCUAAGUGUAUAUAAGUACAGUAUUGUUUUAGACGAACAGUAUAUUUUACUAGUAAUUUUGAUAUUUUUGACUCGUUUUCAUCGUCACUGCACAUAUAGACGACUUAACUGCCAUAAACUGGCUAGCUAAAUCGUGAAUAUAUCCAGUUCCCUAGCAACAAUGAAUACACAGCUAUAACCACGUUUUGAUACAAAGUCCACUACUAAGCUUCGAUACUCGUUUCGUAUUACCCACAUGACACGUGUGGCUGUUUAGAGGCGAGGAAACGUCGCUGCACUUCAAUGAAAGAUUACAGACUUGGAAGAAUUUUGCCUUUCUAAGUGAUUACUGAAAGCGAAUUAGCACACGAAGUACGCGAGGUUAGUUCAGAUUGCAUACAUUUUGAGCGCUAUGAAUUGUGCAAACACAAAAGUAGCAGUGAAGCGCGUGUACAGAGAAACUGUCGCAUGUGACAGAGAUCAUUUCACUUCUGCGAGCACUGAGACAUGCCCACUUUCCAGGUUGGUCCGCAUUAGAGGUCGGCCGGUUGAUCGGUUUUGCUGAUUAAUUGGCACCAAUAACCGAUUGCUGGUUAUGAGCAAAAAGAUUAGUUGAUUAAUGGGUUUUCAGCAGCGCAACUUAGUUAAAUCCACUAUCUUGUCGACCUCUAGACCGCAUUCUUGCGCUGUAUUAAACAUCUUAAACAUAAAACUCAGUACGAGGAGUUCAUCGCGGGCACAUGACAACAACCAACCAAUGGUAAAUAAAACAGUUCUGUAAUGUAUGUGAUUCAUUAAUGCUAAGAAAGUUACUCAUUUUGGUAACGACAAACGAAAAAACCUGCUGCAUCCAUAGUGUGUAUUAGACAAGUAAAUGACUGCCCAUGUUAAACCACUGUAGUCAAAAAUGUUCACUACUUGUUAAAGUUAAAGUGCAUGAAUGGCGUGGUGGUCAGGGUGAAGUGGAGCGUGAGGCGAGGGUGGUGAAAGUACACACACUCCCCACAGCCAAGCGCACACUGUUUACGCAGCCUGCACUCCCAUAUUCAGGCACGUUGUGCAACAUCAACGCAUCAGAAGCUGUUUGCUGCCAUGCCGGACGCUCAGAGAGCUCCAGGUCGCUUCACACUGUGAGAUUCCGUCCAAGUGUCAAUUCCUGAGAGGACGCUGCAGGCCUCAGCGAUGACGGCUCCCGGAAUGAAACGAGGUCACUUUUGGAAGUAGAAAAAAAACAUUACCGGGGCACGUAAAAAUAAAUAUCAAACUACAAAGUGUUGAAGGUUCUGAGCGUUCUAGCAGGACAACGCCCAAGGAAAAAACGACCACAACAAACGCAUUGUAACCACUCGUAUAUUUGCACAAGAGGUCGUCAGACGAGGUUUCCACGAACGAGCCUGUGCACGGAGCAGCUAACGCCGAUCGUCCCACACCCAAACGGCCUGAGGAGGAGUAGGAGGAGAGCCUGGAGUUUCUACCUGCCAUGCGUUUGCAGGGCGUGUUCCAAUCCAUCGAUGACUCAUGAACCCCCAUCGCUCCAUUUGCUCUAUUGGAAUCUCCACCGGUUAGUUCUGGGCGUGUUAGCCGACUUGAGCACGGGAGAAAACCUGCGCUUGUUUUUUAUCCACACUACGCUGUCAUUCUGUAAAGGAGAAAAAAAAGUUUUCCUACAUAACAGUUCCUUCGAGCCCGAGGGUGUUUUUUUAAAGCUCAGGAAGAUCAUAAAUCAUUCAGAAACAUGGCAGCGUUUUGUUGCAAUGCAGCCUAGAAACAGUGCAAAUCUCACCAACGUGCAUAUUUUUAAUGUGAUAAAUGGCAAAGUAACAAUUACAGACACAAUCAGCGCUCGGUACACUUUCACUCACAUUACACUUUAAUCUAAACUUUGUUUUGAGUUCUAGCUCAAUUAUCUGCAACCUUAAAGCUAAAGCGAAGAACCGCAAUUCCCACCAUUGCUCGGAUAAAUUACUCGGAUGCAUCUUUACUGUGAAGUAAAAGCGGAACGGGCGUGUUAGUGAAAAAAAAAAUGGCGCCUGGUUUGUUCGGGGUCUAAAUAUUAUGCUCGGUACGCUCUAAUCAGUUUUCUGUGACACUAUGAACAUAUAUUUAAUCAUAUCUACACUGUAUAAGCACUAUCAUCAACCUACAUAAUGUAUUGUUUCCCCUACAGUCAGCGCCAGAAUUAUUGGCACCCUUGUAAAAAAAGAUGGAUUAAAGAUGCACUGUAAAAUAUUGUAUUUGUGGUUAAUUAUGGGAGAAAUCUAACCGUUAAUUAAAGGUCAAUUUAAUGUAAAGAAAAAGUAAACUUUCAGCAAAAACCUGUAUCAUAAUUAUUGGCACCCAUACAACUUUAUGAACAAAAGGGCUCUUUAUUUGACUUUUUUUUUACCUCCACCGAGUGUUUAGGGACUCUUAGUGUUUCACUGGGGUGUAAAUAUGAAGUGAUACAGAGGCCAAAUAUGUCAGUCAUUUUUAUAAUUCCGGCACGAAACUGAAUUCUAAACCAGAGAUCUGUGCACAACCUGGUAAACUUUUUUGAAACAUUUUCCUCCAAAAACAACGCUUGUGUCUAACGUUUUGCUCCUGUUCAUCCUCCUUAAAGUAUCCCGUGCUGAAUUAUUGUUAAUGAAGAAUGUGGAUUCAUGUAGGGAGGGGAAAAAAGGGGAUGUGGGACUGCUUGAUCUCGAUCCAGCGCCGGGACCAAUCAGAAGCGGAGUAGGCUGGGUCAUGUGAUCAGCGUAUGAGAUUCCACAUGUUUGGAUGAGUCAGUGUUCCCCAUUUUUCUCUCUGUUCAGAGAAGAGCAUGAGUCUGAGUCAUCCAUGAUCAUCUCAUACACACACACACACACACAAACACGCACACACACACACACACACUCACACACACACACACACACACAGUCUAACUGUAUCAGUGUCUCUCUCUCUCUCUCUUUCUCUAUCUUUAUCUGAGUCCAGAGGCAGAAUAGCUUUAUAUGUGCUGGGGAGACAAACCUGGAGAUCAGUCCGGUAUUCCCCCAUUCACAUUCCCAAAAUGCUCUCUCUCUCUCUCUCUCUCUCACACACACACACUCACACACACACAGAUAGAUGAAGAGACAAGGAGAGGGACAAGGGGAGGCAGGCAGACAGAGAGAGAGAGACACAUAGAUGGAGAGAGUGAGACAGUGGUACGGAGAGACAGAAGGAGAGGGAGAAAGACCGAUGGAGAGAGAAAUGAAUAAGAAAAUGAGAUAACUAACAUGAGGAGAUGAAUCACGGGCCUGAAUUAGGACAACACACACAGAGGAAACAUUUAUCUGCCUCGAACAUCUCCUAUUACAGUCACACACCGAAUCUGGGAUCUCAGAAUCCUGAAAUCCUGUUGUGUACGAUUCCGGAGUGCAGGAUCAGUCUUUCCUGUCGGGAUCAUCG
Ictalurus punctatus (channel catfish) is the source of this 7495-nucleotide long non-coding RNA. The record is from Ensembl. Lineage: Eukaryota; Metazoa; Chordata; Actinopteri; Siluriformes; Ictaluridae.